Long non-coding RNA from Astyanax mexicanus (Mexican tetra), 2571 nucleotides. RefSeq lists it as uncharacterized. The transcript is spliced from 2 exons. NCBI's taxonomy places the organism in Eukaryota, Metazoa, Chordata, Actinopteri, Characiformes, Acestrorhamphidae. The record is from RefSeq and is a predicted model, not a curated record.
GAAUGGCAGAUGCCGCUAGCGAGCGCCGCUGGCCAGUAGCGUUCGUGGCCAGUGCCACUCCUGAAAGGCAGGUGCCAGUAGGUGUCACUUCCUGUUGACAGUUGCCGUUUGAGGAUCAAACCCCCUCUCGUUCAAAAGAUCAAACUGGCAUAUUUUAUUGUUGUAAUAAAGGUUUAUUUGUAAGAAUAAGCUUUAACCAGAAGUACAGAUAAUUUAGCAUUUUAUUUACUUAAUUACUUGCAUAUAUACAUACAGGAAGUUACCUUAGCUACAGAGGAAUCAGCUAAUAUUUUAGGCGAUGGUAGCAAAGAUACUUUUUUUUAGGUAAAUUGCUAUUUAUUUUUUUAAUUGUAUUAUUACUUAAUAUGCCACAAAUUAACACUUGACUCAAGACUUAAAAAAAAGAAUAUUUAUUGUUGAGUGUAUUUCAGACUUUAAUGAGACUGUUCAUGGUAUGUAGAAGUGCACAAACUGCAUAAAAGAGCGCACAAACUUGUGUAAAAGUGCACUCUGUGCGUAAAAGCGCAUUCCAUGCGUAAAAGUGCAUUCCGUGCGUAAAAGCGCAUUCUGUGCGUAAAGGCGCAUUCCGUGCGUAAAAGCGCAUUUCGUGGUAAAAUUGCAGCCCGUGCAUAAAGGCGCGCAGCCUAAUCUCAGGGGGUGGACCAAAUACAAUGUAUUAAUCUGAUUAUUCGUCACCUUGUAUAGUUCGAUCUAACACACUAAGACCCCUUUGGCACACACGAGAACAGUCUACUAACCGUGCAUUUUAACUCCUAAUGUCCUGGUGCCAUAAAUUAAAAAAAAUAAAAAUAUAUAAAAACACAUAAUCCUGAAGAUCACAGAAGGUUGCCUACCGUAACGUGGACUCUAGUUACAAAUUGCACGACUUGAAACUUCACUUUGUUCUGAAAGUUCUGAGCUAAUUUAGUGACUAAUCUUAAUAAAUAAACAGAGACUAUUUUGUAAAAAAAACUAACGCAAUACAAAACUCAUUAAUAUUAAACACAUAAAUACAAUAAAGGGGCACAUAUAAAAUUACGUGGUAAACACAAUCCCCUGACAUAAAGCUGAUCAACUGAGAUGGUGAUUUGGGAGGAGCCGGAGCUUCACAACGUGAAGAAAAAGCAGCAACUAUUGUUUGGCAGUUCCAGUCCUUCAAGCUGCUAAAAAACAAACUUUGCAAGUAAGAAGAAUCUAACGUUUAGAACAUAUUAUGGGUUAGUUAACACUUUUUCUUUCCUACAUAAUUCCACAUGUUUCUGUAUGGCAUUCAAUGUAUUUAAUAAUAAAUGUACAAUGUAGAGAAAAAUCAUAAAAAGAAAGAAAACACAUUGAAUGAGAGAAGAUGUUUGUCCAGACCUUUGACUGGUACUGUACAUUACCUCCAGAGCAGCAGGUGGAGCUGUGCUACGUUUCACAGCCUGUGGCAGCGCGGGAAAACAAGCACCCAGCUGACCGAGUCACCAUGGUGAAGCAGCAGCGUCUCUUUGAUGCAGACCAGGAGCAGCGGGGCACUUUAAACUGACCCCCGUAAAUGUAUACAGGAGUGGUGGUCACCAAGAGAAACGAAUGCUGAAACGAAUGCUGAAAUUAGGAGAGGUUAAACGUGAAAAUAUAGAAUCCACGAUGUUCAAAGACGCAGAAAAAACUCCCUGUAAUCUCAAUUCUGAGACGCCAAGCAGAAAAACAAAGAGAAACACCGGCAAGAAAAGAAUCUCCCAGUGCUUGGAGUGUGGGAAGAUUUUCUCCAGACCAGACGUUCUGAAACUGCACCAGCGCGUUCACACAGGGGAGAAACCGUAUCACUGCUUGGAGUGCGGGAAGAGUUUUGCUAGACUGAGUCAUCUCCAGAGGCACCAGCGCAUUCACACGGGAGAGAAGCCGUAUCAGUGCACAGAAUGUGGGAAGCGUUUGACAAGACUUCUGUACCUCAAAGAACACCAGCGCGUUCACACAGGAGUGAAACCGUAUCCCUGUUUACAGUGUGGAGAGAAUUUCGGCGACAAACAGAACCUUAAACGGCAUCAGCGUAUUCACACCGGAGAGAAACCGUUUUAUUGUGUGAAUUGUGGAGUGGCUUUCAGGGACCGAAGUAAUUUUAAACGACACCAACUCAUUCACACGGGGGAGAUGCCAUAUUUCUGCACAAAGUGUGGGCGGAGCUUCAGGCACUCUGAUAAUGCAAAAAAUCAUAAAUGUGCUAAACGGAAAGGGUAAGCUGGAGAUCAUUACGUGGAUCAGAAAGCAUGAACGAUUUUAUUUAUGUUGCUGUCACGUUCACAUCUCCUGCAGUUAAGAAUUUAAAACACUUAUGUUGGUCCAUUUGUCAUGAAUAAAAAAAAAAACUGAACAUAAGUCAUAAAGUGUUGGAUUGACCUGGAAAUGAAUGGCAAUCUUAUAGUGUCAGCUUAAAUGUCAUGAGCUUAUCUGAAGGUGCAGCCUCUGUUCCACAGUCCUUUUUAAUCCUUUUUAGUCAUUUUAAUUACAACUUUCUGAAUGCUGCUAAAUGUUUAAUCCUGUUUGCACAGUUUUGUUACAGGUUGUUAAUAAAGCAUUGAUGUCUGACGUCCA